Numida meleagris (helmeted guineafowl) is the source of this 879-nucleotide long non-coding RNA. RefSeq lists it as uncharacterized. The transcript is spliced from 4 exons. The record is from RefSeq and is a predicted model, not a curated record. Lineage: Eukaryota; Metazoa; Chordata; Aves; Galliformes; Numididae.
CAAAGGUGUCUCAUUUGAAGAUCUCUGCCUAUCUGAGGUCUUCCAAAGGUUGCUGUUGUAUGUUUUCCUGAAUCUGGUCCUGAUGUCAGACCUCAAGCCCCAGUGGAAGCAAGUAUUAACUUCUUGAAAAGGCAAUAAGUACUACAGGAUUGAUGGUGAGUUAAAAUGCAGCAAAAUAUAUACACAUUAUAUGAGUUAAAAGCAUAGAAGCACUGGAUGAAAACUUCUGCUGCAGCAGAAAUCUACAGUACACACACCUUGGCGUUGAGGCACAAUGCAGAGUAAAUGUAAGUCUCUCAGUCCACGAUGCAAAAAGAGUUGUUUGGUCUUCUUGUCCACCGCACAAGGCUUCUCUACUGGUUGCUUCUCUACUGGUCUAUGGGAAGAUAUUGUUUUUUCUAAGCCUUGGAAGAAGUGACAAUUUUCAAUCCCUGUUUGACUGAAAUUUAGUCAUAAAUGCUACUUAUUUGUAUAAGAAAAAAACCAUAAAUCCUCCUCAUCCAUUUUGUGUCUGACUUCUAGCUUCUAGAUUUUUGAGCUGUAUAGUUGAGGAGUUUUCUGCUGUUAUUGUCACCUUUCACUGAAACUAUAGCCAAGAAAAUUAAAUGUACUGUGUCAGGAAAGCGUGGGAUAGCAACCUCUAAGACUUUCCUCCUACUCAAACUCUUGCUAUGUCAUAGAGAGAGAUAAAUGUAGAGUUCAUUCAUAUUAGAUUUGGACAAGAAAGAGAUUAUUUCUCAUUUGAGUAGAUAGAGUCUUUUUUUUAAUUAUGUUUCAACCAAACCCACUUGUUUAUUUUGGUGCACAUUUACCAUCAUGUCACUAAUGACUCUCUUCUUUUCACACAUGUGCCACAGAAUCUCCCCUCUAUGCCCACCA